GCCUAAAAACUAGCCCACCCACCACAACAAUAAGAUCUUACUAAACCCCCCACAAGAACUAAAAACAACAAACAAAUCAUUUUUCCACCCCAGUAUGGGAGACAGAAAAGGAACAAGGAGCAAUAGACAGAGUACCGCAAGGGAAAGUUGAAAGAGAAAUGAAAAAACUCAUCUAAGCCAAUGAAAGCAGAGACUAGAACUCGUACCUUUUGCAUCAUGAUUUAGUUAGAAGCCCUCAGGCAAAGUGCCCUGUAGUCUGGACCCCCGAAACUGAAGCGAGCUACUCCAAGAUAGCCUGUAAUUUAGGGCAAACCCGUCUCUGUGGCAAAAGAGUGGGAAAAUCUUCAAGUAGAGGUGACAAGCCUACCGAGCUCAGUUAUAGCUGGUUGCCUGGAAAAUGAAUAUAAGUUCAGCCCCUCGGCCCCCCACCCCAAGCGGGAAUAACCCCGCCAGGCCCCGGAGGAGCCAAGGGAGUUAGUCAAAAGAGGUACAGCUCUUUUGAAAAAGAUACAACUUAAUCAGGAGGCCAAAGAUCAUAUAAAACAAGGAAAAUUAUCCCAGUGGGCCUGAAAGCAGCCACCUAAGCAGAAAGCGUUAAAGCUCAAUUAAUGAUCCAACCAGUUAUACUGAUAGAAAAUCUUUAUCCCCUACAACUACCCGGCCUCCCCACGCACCCGUGGGGGAGAUAAUGCUAAAAUGAGUAAUAAGAGGGCAAGCCCCUCUCCCAGCACCCGUGUAAGUCGGAGCGGACCCGCCACCGACCAUUAACCGCCCUCAAACAAAGAGAGCCCUGCACAAAACACAGAAUACAAGAAAAACGUGCACCCCCAAAUCGUUACCCCCACACAGGAGUGCAACAAGUGGAAAGACUAAAAGAAAAAGAAGGAACUCGGCAAACACAAGCCUCGCCUGUUUACCAAAAACAUCGCCUCUUGUAACACCAAAAUGAGAGGUCCCGCCUGCCCUGUGACAAAUGUUUAACGGCCGCGGUAUUUUGACCGUGCGAAGGUAGCGCAAUCACUUGUCUCUUAAAUGGAGACCUGUAUGAAAGGCAUCACGAGGGCUUAGCUGUCUCCUUUUUCCAGUCAAUGAAAUUGAUCUCCCCGUGCAGAAGCGGGGAUGCGCACAUAAGACGAGAAGACCCUAUGGAGCUUAAGACCUCCCCCGACCCAUGUGACACACUCAACAAAGGCAGAACUUAAUGGACCCCGGGAAACUGUCUUUGGUUGGGGCGACCGCGGGGGAUGAAAAGCCCCCAUGUGGAAUAGAGAAACAUCUCUAAAACCCAGAGCCACUACUCCAAGUAACAGAACAUCUGACCUGUACGAUCCGGCAAGGCCGAUCAACGAACCGAGUUACCCUAGGGAUAACAGCGCAAUCCCCUCCCAGAGCCCAUAUCGACGAGGGGGUUUACGACCUCGAUGUUGGAUCAGGACAUCCUAAUGGUGCAGCCGCUAUUAAGGGUUCGUUUGUUCAACGAUUAAAGUCCUACGCGAUCUGAGUUCAGACCGGAGCAAUCCAGGUCAGUUUCUAUCUAUGAAAUGCUCUCUUCCAGUACGAAAGGGCCGAAGAGAAGAGGCCCAUGCCAAGAGCACGCCUCCCCCUUACCCAGUGAAAACAACUAAAGUGGACAAAAGGGCAUGCCCCAGUUGGGCCAAAGAUAAUGGCAA
This 1670-nucleotide ribosomal RNA is filed under the name Percopsis transmontana (sand roller). Its description in RNAcentral is "16S rRNA". The stretch from base 95 to 1557 matches the Rfam family "Bacterial large subunit ribosomal RNA". The record is from RNAcentral. Lineage: Eukaryota; Metazoa; Chordata; Actinopteri; Percopsiformes; Percopsidae.